UUGAAGUGCAAGUUGACCAAAU
RNAcentral lists this non-coding RNA (22 nucleotides) under Arabidopsis thaliana (thale cress). Lineage: Eukaryota; Viridiplantae; Streptophyta; Magnoliopsida; Brassicales; Brassicaceae. The record is from RNAcentral.